This 1283-nucleotide long non-coding RNA is filed under the name Rattus norvegicus (Norway rat). RNAcentral describes it as "long non-coding RNA NONRATT020721". Lineage: Eukaryota; Metazoa; Chordata; Mammalia; Rodentia; Muridae. The record is from RNAcentral.
ACAGGCAGCGUGGGCACACAGGGCCGUGCCUGCAAUAAGACAGCCCCUCAGGCUAGUGGCUGUGACCUCAUGUGCUGCGGCCGUGGCUACAACACACACCAGUAUGCCCGGGUGUGGCAGUGCAACUGCAAAUUCCACUGGUGCUGCUACGUCAAGUGUAACACAUGCAGCGAGCGCACAGAGAUGUAUACGUGCAAGUGAAUGAGGUCACAGGUCAGAUCACAGGCAGGAUACCGUCUCCCUGAAGGCCACUGCCAGGAGACCCACAGGGAACCACAGAAGCACUGUCCUCCCUGCAGGCCCCUGCCUGGAUACUCACAGGGAACCACAGAAGCACUGUCCUUGUCUUUUCUGCUGAGGGGGAAGGGUAUUCUGGGUUUCCCACAGACUCCUGUGGGAAGCAUCUCUCAGAGGCCCACCCGUUCUACUCCACACAGAUGCUGCUCAGCCACCUUCCCCCAGACACCGCCCGAGUCCCUCCAUGGCUGGAACAAAGUUUUCUACAGCAGGAGCUCUGGAGCCUCGGGCCUCGUCAUAGCAAUAUUUAACAGUUUAUUCUGAUAAGAAAUAAUAUUAAUUUAUUUAAUUAAAGAGAAUUCUUCCACCUCGUCGGGAUCCGUUUUCUGCAAUCAAAGUGGACUGCUUGAGGUCCUGGUGGGAUGACUUGCUAGGACUGGGAGCUGAGAACAGCUGUACAUAAUUAUUCUUCAUGCAGAUGGUUCUUCUAGUUGAUUUUGCCUUCCGCAGUGCUGGGUGUUAAGUACAAAGAGAAGACGGUCUUUAUACACAUAUAGAUAUAUAUGCAUACACAUUUGUAUUUUUUUUGUUUUUGUUUUUGCUGUUUGCUGCUACCUAUCCAGAAUCUAAGCUGGUCCAGAUCUGGAAUUGUUUCUCUCCAGGACAUGCCCCUAUCCUUUUGCCCUCCAGUUCAAACCUCGCCAUUAGAAAAGUUCCAUUGGGCAUGGUGUGAAUCACAAAUUCCCAGCAAUUCCCAUCCCGGAAAGUGAACCACUGGAUAAGAGGCUUUCUAAGAGACUAUUUUUCUAUGAAUAUUUUAUUUAUAUGGAGUCUGCCUGUGUUGCCCCAUGGCCCAUGCCUCUUCUUAACACUGGUACUCACUCAGGGGCAGGAGGACAAGGCCAGCUGCUGGAGAAACUCAGAUGCCUGUGACACCACAACCCUGAGCCUCGUGGCCUGCGUGCUGGGAGCCCCUCAGUGCCUAGGUCAUGUCCAGUCUCCCACCUGGGUCACAGCAGGACAAAUAAACACGACUGUAUGGCUGA